This 4461-nucleotide unclassified non-coding RNA is filed under the name Leishmania donovani. RNAcentral's name for it is "gene:LdHU3.18.1590(CDS-product:ttaggg_binding_fac tor_putative)". The record is from RNAcentral. Lineage: Eukaryota; Euglenozoa; Kinetoplastea; Trypanosomatida; Trypanosomatidae.
CGCAUGCCAUCGUCACGUGAGGUGGGUGCAGCACACACCUAUAUAUAUAUACAUACACGCCCAUAUACAUACAGAAGCAAGCACGAAGCGGCGAGCAACACGCGCCUGCUCCCACCUCUUCCACCACGACACGCAUAAGCAGCGAUUUUGGUAUACGCUUCGUUUCUUUGCUGCUCUCUGUGGCGCUCCAGUGCGCAUCUGCAAGGGAGACGAAGGAGCGCGCUUCAACGCGGAGAUAGCGACACAAAAAGGUGUGGUGAGAGAUCGACGUCGCUCACUGCGCCGUUGCAGCGUGGCUGCGACCGCUGGAGGUUUCUGUGCAUAGAAGAGACGAGGUGGUGGCACUCGAAAAGAUACAGGAGAACAUAUCGAAGGCAGAGCGCAAUAACCGCUGCAGCAACACCGUUGCAUUGACGCUCGCGCCUUACAGAGGCCCAGAGAAGAGAAGGGCGAGGAUACUCGGUAUUUUUCCUGUCCGCCUCUGAAUCUGCAGUCGCCCUCCUCCCCAUUUCUCCCGUCCUCUUCCUCGCUCUCCCUCUCCGUCACCGUCUCCCACGCCGCUCACUGUAUCAUUACGCUGCAUAGAUAACACCACGGCAGAGACUUGUGGGCUUCUCUUUCUUUUCUUUUGGGUGCUUCUACUCUGCUGACGCGCCAUCUGCUUGGCCACAGCACCGUGCUCUUCUUCCUUCUUUCGCCCCCUCCCCCCUCCCCCCACUCCCUACUCCCCACUCCCCACUCCCACCCCUGUCCUCCUUCGCCACCUUUUUUUUUUUGCUUGUCGUAACUAGCUCACCGCUUCCACUCGCCUCGUCCGUGCGUGAGUGUGUGCGUGUGGAGGUCGUCAUCGUCCGCGAGAGCCGCGUUCUUUUUGUGUUCCGUUGUCGUGUGCUUUCCUAUGGUUGAUUGGUUUAGUUGAUUGCCCGCCUAGUACGCCAUCUCACUGCUGCUGCUGCUCGCUUCGUCUUAUUUUGUGUUGAUAUAGUUUUCGAUUCCCUGCGUGCAAGCCUCAGCACACACACACACACACACACACACUCACACGCAGAGCGCACAGAAAAAAGAGCAUACACACGCAUCCGUCGCACAUAGGUGAGCAGCCCCCCUAGCUCUUUCCUGCUCUGCUCUUAUUUAUAUGUUUGCCUCCUGGUCAGCAGCAUAUCAAAGGUCAGUGAACACGACGCGGAGGCGACUUUGUGCGAGCGCUCGCUCGCCCUCUCGUGCGCGUGUCCGAAGAGAAGGAAUCGAACCCACCGACCACGCAAGAGACGACUCGCUUAGACUAGAAUGCCUGCUACAAGCCCAUCCUCUGCUGCUGCCACGCCGGCAAGCGGCGGCAGGACCAGUGCGGCGGACCGACCGCAGCGAGAGCCGCAACACGGUCUCGGUGCCGGCUCCGCCAUGACUAUCGCCAGAGGUGACGACAGCGGCAGCGGUGACAGACUAUUAACGGAUGCUAAGCACGACGUGCAAUACUUCGAUGUGUUUCAUCCAAUCCUUCUGAGUCACGUGCGCCGUGCCAACAGUGACGGUGUGUUGGCGCUUCUGUCGCUGCCAAGUAUUGCGGAGAGCGACGUUUUCUGGCGCACGUGCACGUAUCGUGAGGGGCUGGUGGCUGCCGUGCUGAUCCACGUCAUGGAGCACACGGGGCAGCUGACUGUCCCGGCAAGCCCACCCACGUUGUCGACGCCCGCAUAUGAAGCUGCUAGCCCUCCUGGCAUACUUGUGAAUUCUCAAGAGCGAGCUGACGACUCUCCAGCUUGCUCACCGGAGCCGACCCCGCAAACGAGGAGGCAGCCGUCGCUGCCAUCACCCUCACCUCACUCCUCUCCAGCGCCAUCAGUCCCGUCUGACGCCAUCAUUGUGGCCGACGAUGGGCUCUCGCCGGCGUCUCACUCGCCUCGCAUUACUCCCCUCACCGUGGAUGACCUUCACGUGCUGCUGCAUCUCUGCUCACGCGAAGGAGCCGAGGCUGAGGCAUCAUGCGGAGGGCGCCAGAGUGUCUCUUCACCGCAGGGGCGCAAGGGCGCAGACAGCGCAGAGAGGCCCUGCGUUCUCGAUCGACGCCACCCGCCCGCGCUUGCCUCGCUCCUGCAGGCAGGCAAGGCGCUACGGCAGCAGCGCAGCAGCAGCAGCAGCAGCAACACAUCGACAACAGGCGCAGGCACUUCCAGCCGGCGUCGACGAGCUGGGGCCCUGCAGAAAGCGGCGGCAGAUACGGAUCUGGAGCUGUACAUACAAAGCGUUAUGCGUCGAUUGGAGGCCAUGAAAGGUGCGCAGACGCAGUUGGGGGCGCACAACCUUGACGCCCCUGCGGUGACAACGCGCAAACGACCUCGAUCGAGCAACGCACCGACAACCUCGUUGGCCAGUGCCAGCAGUGGGGGCAAUAGGACUGGCAUUCCAACUUCGUCCGGCCCUGAUUCUUUUUGCGGCAUGCGUGGAGAGGUGAUGGCGACCGCUCCCACGGAUGCGGUGGACCUCGCGGCUCUUGCGGCGGUGCUGCAGGAGCACUGCCAUGACAUGGUUUACGUGAACCCACUCAGUGAACGCCUCGCUGCGCCAGCUGCAGUGGAGGAGAGCACAGACAGCACCACCACAACGGCCACCACCAUUAUGGGCAUAUCUAGUAGCAACAGCAAUGGCAGUCUGACGAACGCCGCACAUGCAGCUGGCACCACCACCGCGCACGCCACUGCUGGGGUGGCGGUAGAGAGGACAUCCAUGGCUGACCUGGUGGAUGCUGCUCCGGAGGCAGUUUCCGAAAGCGCAGAGGGCGCCGACGCGGAUGCUGCCGAGGACAUCGACGCGCAGGAUUUGUCUGGCGGGCUCGACGCCGUGGCACUGCUGCGCCGCAUUCCUGCCAUCAGCGCAACGCGCUGGGCGCUGCCGAGCGGUGCGCGUAGCGCCAGCAACAGCGGUGCUGAUGAAACUGGCGCUGCAGCACAGCGCCUUCUUUCGGCCACGGCGACCACGGCAAUGGCGCGGACGGGCGGCGCGUCUGUUUCUGCCUCCUCACUGUCGCUGUCGAGGCCACUGACGUGCUCCUCGAUUCCUACGACGGCGGCGGUGCCGCCAGCGCGCGACAAUGAAGAGGAGGAGCGCGUCUCUGCAGCCAUUCGCGCAUUUGACGCCUUCACCACUGCGCUCGAGCAAUCGGCCGCCGCCACAGCCGGUGUGUCCGCGGGCCCGCCGCAGUCCUCCCUGGCGCUAUCUGCGCCGUCGUCGUCGUCCACUGGGAACCUCAGCAGCCGCCGCGCUGCCGCGCGUCACGCGGCGUCCGGUGCCCUUCACCCGCGGCCCCCGGUGCCACCGCCGUCUUCGACCUCUAAAGUUCGGCGCCGACACAAGUUCAGCCCUCAAGAAGACGCCGCCAUUCUUCACGGAGUCGCGCGCUUUGGGCAGGUGAGCGGCUCCUUCCAGUACAUCUUGCACGCCUACCGAAGCGUGUGGCGGGCCGGCAGAACAGCGCUGCACCUGUACGACCACUGGCGUGGUGCAUUGCGUCGGCGCGCUGUUGCGGCUGCCAGUGACGAGGCGACAAGCCACGCAGACAGAAACGCUUUCAACGAAGCGCUUGAUGACAGGGAUGAUGCAGAGCGCGCGUCCCCCAUCUACCCUGCAACGCCGGACUGCAGGCAGGACCUGAGCUCGGACAUCGAAGACUUCUCUGAUGAUUCGUGAAGCUCAGUGCAGCGUCGCUGACGGCGCAUGGAGGAAGUAGGUGAGUAGGUGAAAGGCACAGCAGAGAGUCGUGCCCCUGUGUAUGGACCAGCGACACUCGCACGGAUGAUGCGCAGGCGCUGUCUCUCUGUCGCCACCGCGUUCGGUUGCGCGCUCGUGUGUGGCGGUCAGCGCGAGAUUUGCAGGCCUCUGUGUUUUCUUUUGUUGUUUUUGUUCCUCUUCCUUCGCGUUCAUUGCAUCGUUGUUGUUCUUUGGCGUCUCCCUCUCGUCGCUCGUCAACCGGCUGUGCAGAUGCGAGCAGCGUGCCUGCUUCGUGCAAGCGCCGUUACCCACAGAAGGAAGGUAAAAGCCCCACAGGUCCCUUUCGGACAAUCUCAGGAAGCAAAGUAGCGCCUCACCAUCAUCUCUGCAGACAUGCACGCGCCCGCACGUCUGUGUGCGUUUGCAUGUGUGCCGCUCAGCGCGUGAUGCUGCACCAGUCUCCUUCAACUCCCUUUGUUACUGCUGCUGCUGCUACUGCCCUGCGUACAUGUUUGCGCACCUGUGUUGCCACCUUUGGGUUUGAGAGUUUCCACCCUCAUUCUGAAGGCUUUUACACCCUUCUCUCACGCCUCGCUUGACUGCCUGCUCCUCUCUUCAUUACCCCCGCCACAUCGCGGUGCACGGCUUUCCUGUACAUACACACGCACGGGGGGUGCAUGCAUUCACCGCAUACCUCAACACAAACUUGCUCCACACCUUCUUCCACUUCUCUGUGCGGCAUCAUAACCCACGUAG